Molecule: long non-coding RNA, 963 nt
Filed under: Equus caballus (horse)
Lineage: Eukaryota; Metazoa; Chordata; Mammalia; Perissodactyla; Equidae
Description: lncRNA (ENSECAG00000031759.3)
Source: RNAcentral
GAUUUUCUGACUUAGGUCUGGAGCGGAACCUGAUAAUUUGCAUUCCUAACAAGUUUCAGGUGAUGUGAAUUCUAUGAUCUGUGUCCACACAUUUUUAAAAGCCACUGCUCUAGACUCUGCUAAGAUGCCUGAGUGUUUCUCCACUUGCCCUCUCUUCCACCUCCUUACAUCUAGACCAGACUUCUCUGAGCCCAAAAGGACUAGAAGGAGUUGCUCAGCUAAUUUUGGGGCUCCUUUUAGAAGAAAUUGUUUCAUAUGUAGCUGUAGAUUCUGUGGCUUCAUGCAAAGAGAUCAAAAGGAUGGCCAGAGGCUACUGUGUUCAAUCCAGAAAUCUGCAGGAGAUAGUGCCUGGGCCUGGAAAGCAGCUCUGCUCCUCAGGAACAUCUGCUCACAGAAAAUGAUCAGAGAGAACGUUGACACGAGUCAUGCAAACUACCACGGACAUGCUGGGGUCCAAAGGCAUUAAAUUUGAAAGAGACAGUUCCAGAAUGCCUGCUUGUCGGGAGGAGGAGGUGGAGCUAGGUUGAAGAUGAGCCCUGAGCUAACUACUGCCAAUCCUCCUCUUUUUGCUGAGGAAGACUGCCUUGAGCUAACAUCUGUGCCCAUCUUCCUCCACUUUACAUGUGGGACACCUACCACAGCAUGGAGUUUUUGCCCAAGCAGUGCCAUGUCUGCACCUGGGAUCCGAACCAGCGAACUCCGGGCCACCUAGAAGUGGAGCGUGUGCACUUAACCGCUGCACCACUGGGCCGGCCACGCUAUCUUUCUAUUUUUAAGGGUAUGCAAAUAACUUAAAUUAUUUGACUACUAAAUUUAAGGAAGUUAUUUACCUUUAGCUUAAACACAGAAUCUGUCAGACAUAGGGAUAUACUUGAAGCAAUUUUUAAAUUAUAGUAUAAAUUUAUUUGUUUGUAUCUUACUGAUUAUAGUAUAAAUUUAUUUGUUUGUAUCUUACUGAUCAUG